This is a long non-coding RNA of Sinocyclocheilus anshuiensis, 270 nucleotides long. RefSeq lists it as uncharacterized. NCBI's taxonomy places the organism in Eukaryota, Metazoa, Chordata, Actinopteri, Cypriniformes, Cyprinidae. The transcript has 3 exons. The record is from RefSeq and is a predicted model, not a curated record.
AAUUAUAAUUGUCAUCAUCACUAGUCAUCAGUUAUCAAGAGAGACACCGCUAUUGGUCGCAAUACUGUUCUGGACUAAGGUAUAUUUCACCCACAUGUCAGAGAUAGACUUUGAGCUCGAAAGGUCAUGCAUCUCAAAGAACAUUUGCAUGUUGCAAGACGAGAGCCCUGGAUCUUCUGGAUAUUUCUUCCGUGAGUGGAGUGACAGGAGUAACGAGGAUGAAAAGAUGAACUCCGGUAUCACAGAGAGACACACAGCAGAGAGUCUCCC